RNAcentral lists this ribosomal RNA (520 nucleotides) under uncultured Entrophospora. Its description in RNAcentral is "bacterial SSU rRNA". It matches the Rfam family "Eukaryotic small subunit ribosomal RNA", at positions 569 to 1081 of the family's 1831-position model. Lineage: Eukaryota; Fungi; Glomeromycota; Glomeromycetes; Entrophosporales; Entrophosporaceae. The record is from RNAcentral.
AGCAGCCGCGGUAAUUCCAGCUCCAACAGCGUAUAUUAAAGUUGUUGCAGUUAAAAAGCUCGUAGUUGAAUUUCGGGAUCGGCAUGUUGGUCGUGCCUUACGGGGUAUGAACUGACAUCGUCGGUUUCUCACCUUCUGGAGAAUCGUGAUGCUCUUAAUUGGGUGUUACGUGGAUCCAGGACCUUUACCUUGAAAAAAUUAGAGUGUUUAAAGCAGGCAUUUUGCUCGAAUACAUUAGCAUGGAAUAAUAAAAUAGGACGGUUUGGUUCUAUUUUGUUGGUUUCUAGGAUCACCGUAAUGAUUAAUAGGGAUAGUUGGGGGCAUUAGUAUUCAAUUGUCAGAGGUGAAAUUCUUGGAUUUAUUGAAGACUAACUACUGCGAAAGCAUUUGCCAGGAUGUUUUCAUUAAUCAAGACGAAAGUUAGGGGAUACGAGGACGAUCAGAUACCGUACGUAGUCUUAACCAUAAACUAUGCCGACUAGGAUCAGACGAUUAGUUUAAUUUUUUAAUGUACUUCGUU